AGUUGAGAAGGCAAGGGAUAGAAGAUCACUCGUCAUGAGAAGGGAAGGAGGAUUAGCAAGAAGCACCCGUCCGCAUCAGAUCUACACAUCCUCAAGUGAUUAAGGCCUUGAGGUUAAUCAUAGACAGUCGGCCAAGGUCCCACCUAAAGAUGACCACUUCAUGCAUCUUUCUCAGUACGACCUCGGGAAGGCCAAGGACAACAAGGCGACCAUGUUUUUGUGAAGGUGGACAACUGAAAGUUCACUGGGACAGACAUGUUCCCCCAGUUCUAGUUUGAGAUUGUCUUCGAGAAGGAGGUCAAGCUCCAGGACACCUCCCAAGUCAUACAGCCUCUUAUUCUCUGGGUAUAAUUUCUUCUAGUCGGCCGACAGUGAUGAGAUGGAUUUGACUCAGAUGAAGAAUCUGAAGAUGAAGAGGAGGAAGAGAGAUUGUUCCAGCCAGCUUCAAAAAUGGUUAUCUAGAGAGAUUUAGUGGGAGGAGCUCAUAGGCACUCUUGCUAGUGCAGACGCUACGCCAUGCGCCAUGUUGGUCAUGUAUGUAUGUUGCCCGAAUCAAGAACCAAGAGGAACGCCUUCUCCGACCUUUGUGAUGACAAGGUUGUUUAUUCAGUGGAAGUUUGCUCCAUGAGUUCAUGAAGGCUGGAAAUCUGGGCGCUUUCUUAUACGCUGCCACAAUAGAUAUUCUUAGAGGCAAAAAAAUUAGCAAACGGUUGAAUUGUUGCAGGGGUCAAUAGAUUGAGUGGGUGGUCGCCACAGCAGUGACGCUGCACACCCUUCUGCUCGGGUCUCCCUAUCGCCUGGACCACGGGCCAAGAGGCACCCCUUCACCGACCUAGCUGACAACAAGAAAAGGUUCGAGCUCUCGCGUCCAUGAUGGCGGCAGCACAACACAGUGACCAGCUGGACCGCGUGUAGCUGAUGUGGUCGGCCAGCAAGCCGUCUCCGGGAACCCUCAGUGACGCCCUCGCUGUCGUGCGGUGUCCUUCAUGUUUGACUCUUGUUUAGGCGACAUAGUUUUCUUCACGUCCCCACGGUCCAGAAUCUCAAGAAUGAUGCCUUCCUCACGUCGUGACGUCGGUAGUCUCUUGCCCGAGAUGUUGUUGCCAGCGUCCACCCGGAGCUGUGGCCAGCGACCACAUCCCUGAGCAAUUGGUAGGCAUAACUGUAAAAGGUUGAUAAUGGAAAUCUCGAACUCUCUUUAACUUAGUGUCAGUGUGGUGGUUUGAUAAUUUCCAAGUACUAUGUGUGAACAAUGGUCACUGUGUUUGGUUUUAUUGGCCACUUGGUCUAAUUGGUCUACUGGCGUAAUUAAGCUAGGUAUUGUGUGUCUGGUUAGCUAAUUUAGAGAGAUGUGCUACUUUGUUUGAUAUUUUGGUUUGUUUUUGAGAUCAUCCAAUUAAUUUUCUAGUGCCCAGUAUUGUAGUGGCUCUCUUGUAUUUAGAUUCCAUUGAUUUGAUCAAGUGCUAAUGCUUGUAUACUGGGUACAUACCAAGUUUAUGUUAACUUCUAGAUUUCCUGAAAUAGUUUCUUGCGUUGUUUUUGGUAUAUUACAACAUGGUAGAUCUAUCUAAUGUAUAUGUGAUGAGCAUAUUUGUCUUGCCUUUGACGUUUGACCAAGCUUUGUAUGUGUGAUGUACUGUUGUGUAGUUACUUGCUGAUGCCAAUGGCGGUUCCCUCUAAUAUCUAAAAGUGAAGAUCUAAGGAGGCAAUUAAUGAUAAGGAUCAAGGAAGGAACUAGCUAUGGAGGUCGACAAAGAUGGGCAUGGCUGGCUUUGCACAACCCAGGCGAUGGUCCUUUUGGCUUGUUGAACCUGUGUGCUUUGUUUAGGAUAUGUGGUUUCACUAGGAUUUAUCGAGCUUGGUUUAAUGCAUUGCAACCAGUCGGCAGAUUUUGUUUAGUGUGAACUACUGGCUCAAAUUUCUGAGCUCUCAAGACAACAACAGAUUAGUUUUGUAUCUUGUGUAUGUAAAUCCAGUUGAUACAAAGAGGCGGUACAUGUGAGAUCCCCU
Long non-coding RNA from Lolium rigidum, 2010 nucleotides. RefSeq lists it as uncharacterized. NCBI's taxonomy places the organism in Eukaryota, Viridiplantae, Streptophyta, Magnoliopsida, Poales, Poaceae. The record is from RefSeq and is a predicted model, not a curated record. The transcript is spliced from 9 exons.